RNAcentral lists this ribosomal RNA (367 nucleotides) under uncultured bacterium. RNAcentral's name for it is "bacterial SSU rRNA". It matches the Rfam family "Bacterial small subunit ribosomal RNA", at positions 527 to 896 of the family's 1533-position model. The record is from RNAcentral.
GGAGGUUGCAAGCGUUAUCCGGAUUUAUUGGGUUUAAAGGGUGCGUAGGCGGGAUGAUAAGUCAGUGGUGAAAACCUGCAGCUUAACUGUAGAACUGCCAUUGAUACUGUCGUUCUUGAGUAUAGUUGAGGUGGGCGGAAUGUGUAGUGUAGCGGUGAAAUGCUUAGAUAUUACACAGAACACCGAUUGCGUAGGCAGCUCGCUAAACUAAAACUGACGCUGAGGCACGAAAGCGUGGGGAUCAAACAGGAUUAGAUACCCUGGUAGUCCACGCCGUAAACGAUGAUUACUCGAUGUGUGCAAUAUAUCGUACGCGUCUAAGCGAAAGCAUUAAGUAAUCCACCUGGGGAGUACGUCGGCAACGAUG